Molecule: ribosomal RNA, 490 nt
Filed under: uncultured bacterium
Lineage: Bacteria
Description: partial 16S ribosomal RNA
Rfam family: Bacterial small subunit ribosomal RNA
Source: RNAcentral
AUUGAACGCUGGCGGCAGGCCUAACACAUGCAAGUCGAAUGGUAACAGGAAACAGCUUGCUGUUUCGCUGACGAGUGGCGGACGGGUGAGUAAUGUCUGGGAAACUGCCUGAUGGAGGGGGAUAACUACUGGAAACGGUAGCUAAUACCGCAUAACGUCGCAAGACCAAAGAGGGGGACCUUCGGGCCUCUUGCCAUCAGAUGUGCCCAGAUGGGAUUAGCUAGUAGGUGGGGUAACGGCUCACCUAGGCGACGAUCCCUAGCUGGUCUGAGAGGAUGACCAGCCACACUGGAACUGAGACACGGUCCAGACUCCUACGGGAGGCAGCAGUGGGGAAUAUUGCACAAUGGGCGCAAGCCUGAUGCAGCCAUGCCGCGUGUAUGAAGAAGGCCUUCGAGUUGUAAAGUACUUUCUGCGGGGAGGAAGGGAGUAAAGUUAAUACCUUUGCUCAUUGACGUUACCCGCAGAAGAAGCACCGGCUAACUCCGUG